UCGUCAGAAAGGAGUUCCUGCUGGGUGCGCACAACGCUUGCUGCAAAAUAAUCAUCCACUUUACCCAAGGAGAACAACAUAAAUAACGUCAAAGUACCUACAUCGAGUGAGAAGUACAAAACGCUCGAAAGUCAAGAUUAUCUCACAAGGAGUAGAGACCUGCGCAAAUGCCUCGGUGAAAACAAUGGCGUUGUCUGCCAGGGCGUCUAUAUUCGGAGUGUAUGCGUUACUGUCGCCGUAGCAUCCCAGAGUAGUCCUCAGAUCGUCUACGAUGAUCAGCAAGAUGUUUGGGCGCAUAGCGGUGACGUUUAUUAUACAUAUCAGCAUAAUCGUAACAAAAUUAAAUU
Solenopsis invicta (red fire ant) is the source of this 347-nucleotide long non-coding RNA. RefSeq lists it as uncharacterized. NCBI's taxonomy places the organism in Eukaryota, Metazoa, Arthropoda, Insecta, Hymenoptera, Formicidae. The record is from RefSeq and is a predicted model, not a curated record. The transcript is spliced from 2 exons.